RNAcentral lists this ribosomal RNA (497 nucleotides) under uncultured bacterium. RNAcentral's name for it is "partial 16S ribosomal RNA". It matches the Rfam family "Bacterial small subunit ribosomal RNA", at positions 28 to 507 of the family's 1533-position model. The record is from RNAcentral.
GAUGAACGCUGGCGGCGUGCCUAAUACAUGCAAGUCGAGCGAACAGACGAGGAGCUUGCUCCUCUGACGUUAGCGGCGGACGGGUGAGUAACACGUGGAUAACCUACCUAUAAGACUGGGAUAACUUCGGGAAACCGGAGCUAAUACCGGAUAAUAUAUUGAACCGCAUGGUUCAAUAGUGAAAGACGGUUUUGCUGUCACUUAUAGAUGGAUCCGCGCCGCAUUAGCUAGUUGGUAAGGUAACGGCUUACCAAGGCGACGAUGCGUAGCCGACCUGAGAGGGUGAUCGGCCACACUGGAACUGAGACACGGUCCAGACUCCUACGGGAGGCAGCAGUAGGGAAUCUUCCGCAAUGGGCGAAAGCCUGACGGAGCAACGCCGCGUGAGUGAUGAAGGUCUUCGGAUCGUAAAACUCUGUAAUUAGGGAAGAACAAAUGUGUAAGUAACUAUGCACGUCUUGACGGUACCUAAUCAGAAAGCCACGGCUAACUUCGUG